Molecule: ribosomal RNA, 746 nt
Filed under: uncultured cyanobacterium
Lineage: Bacteria; Bacillati; Cyanobacteriota
Description: bacterial SSU rRNA
Rfam family: Bacterial small subunit ribosomal RNA
Source: RNAcentral
AGAGUUUGAUCCUGGCUCAGGAUGAACGCUGGCGGUAUGCUUAACACAUGCAAGUCGAACGGAAUGCUUCGGCAUUUAGUGGCGGACGGGUGAGUAACGCGUGAGAAUCUGGCUUUAGGUUCGGGACAACAGUGGGAAACUGCUGCUAAUACCGAAUGUGCCUUAGGGUGAAAGAUUAAUUGCCUGAAGAUGAGCUCGCGUCUGAUUAGCUAGUUGGUGAGGUAAAGGCUCACCAAGGCGACGAUCAGUAACUGGUCUGAGAGGAUGACCAGUCACACUGGGACUGAGACACGGCCCAGACUCCUACGGGAGGCAGCAGUGGGGAAUUUUCCGCAAUGGGCGAAAGCCUGACGGAGCAAUACCGCGUGAGGGAGGAAGGCUCUUGGGUUGUAAACCUCUUUUCUCAGGGAAGAACAAAAUGACGGUACCUGAGGAAUAAGCAUCGGCUAACUCCGUGCCAGCAGCCGCGGUAAUACGGAGGAUGCAAGCGUUAUCCGGAAUUAUUGGGCGUAAAGCGUCCGCAGGUGGCAAUUCAAGUCUGCUGUUAAAGGUUCUGGCUCAACCAGGAACAGGCAGUGGAAACUGAAUAGCUAGAGUGCGGUAGGGGCAGAGGGAAUUCCCAGUGUAGCGGUGAAAUGCGUAGAGAUUGGGAAGAACACCGGUGGCGAAAGCGCUCUACUGGACCGUGACUGACACUGAUGGACGAAAGCUAGGGGAGCGAAUGGGAUUAGAUACCCCCGUAGUCC